GCACAAGCGGUGGAUGAUGUGGAUUAAUUCGAUGCAUCGCGAAAAACCUUACCUACCCUUGACAUGUCCGGAAUCCUGGAGAGAUUCGGGAGUGCUCGCAAGAGAACCGGAACACAGGUGCUGCAUGGCUGUCGUCAGCUCGUGUCGUGAGAUGUUGGGUUAAGUCCCGCAACGAGCGCAACCCUUGUCAUUAGUUGCCACCAUUCAGUUGGGCACUCUAAUGAGACUGCCGGUGACAAACCGGAGGAAGGUGGGGAUGACGUCAAGUCCUCAUGGCCCUUAUGGGUAGGGCUUCACACGUCAUACAAUGGUCGGUACAGAGGGUCGCCAACCCGCGAGGGGGAGCCAAUCCCACAAAGCCGAUCGUAGUCCGGAUUGGAGUCUGCAACUCGACUCCAUGAAGUCGGAAUCGCUAGUAAUCGUGGAUCAGCAUGUCACGGUGAAUACGUUCCCGGGUCUUGUACACACCG
This 470-nucleotide ribosomal RNA is filed under the name uncultured beta proteobacterium. Its description in RNAcentral is "bacterial SSU rRNA". It matches the Rfam family "Bacterial small subunit ribosomal RNA", at positions 923 to 1392 of the family's 1533-position model. The record is from RNAcentral. Lineage: Bacteria; Pseudomonadati; Pseudomonadota; Betaproteobacteria.